This 831-nucleotide long non-coding RNA is filed under the name Capra hircus (goat). RNAcentral describes it as "lncRNA (ENSCHIG00000006293.1)". The record is from RNAcentral. Lineage: Eukaryota; Metazoa; Chordata; Mammalia; Artiodactyla; Bovidae.
CAAGGGUGUUCUAGAAGGCUGCAUGUGUGCCCUGAGGGCACUUAAGUGGGUUCAGGCCUUGUCUCUAACACAAUUUAUGCCACUUUAGAAACAUUUCCUCAAUUUUGAAUAUGGGCAACUAAACCGUUUCCUGCAAUGCCAAGACCCUAGUUUUCCACACAGCACCAAGUGUAUGGGGCCACGGAGGGUUCCAGAUGACAGGAGGUCUGGUUCCUUGGUGAAGGUCUGUCUGUCUGCCUUUGUUCUCUCUCACACCCUCCCUCUCAUUUCUCUCCUUCCACAGGCUUCAGGAAUCCCGCUGGACCUGGUGCUUGGGUGCUGGGUCCUGGGGAUACAAGGGAAGAAGAUGGACCAUGUGAAGGUAGAAUUGAUGCUGGCAUUCCUUGGUGGAUAUGUGACAAGCAUCUGUUGAAGACCUGGUAGGGCAGGAGGGUAAUGAGGAGGGAGGCUGGGACUGCUGAGCCAUGAAAAGCAGGGACUAUCUGCAGACAGAUUAAGGCAAGGGUGCCCUUCAUGCUCAGCAAAGCAGAGACCAGGCAAGGCUCUGAGAGGCCAUCAAGGCAGUGCAGAGUGCUCUGCAAAGAGAUGUGAAGCCGGAGGGGAUGGCUCGUUCUGAAAGCGUCCAAGAAUCGCACCAAGCUUGGCAGUGGAGAGCUUGACUUUCUCGUGAUCUAGAAGGAUGAGCAACUUGGUUUAAUGUCUUCCCUGGGUCACAGGUGAGCCUGGAAACUAGGAGCUGAGUGCCCUGUGUGCUGUCUUAUGUCAUGUGAUGGUAGAAUUCUGGGCCAUGUGAUCUGCCUGCGUCUGUGCUUUGGUAUGUUACUUUCCUUU